This 495-nucleotide ribosomal RNA is filed under the name uncultured bacterium. RNAcentral's name for it is "bacterial SSU rRNA". It matches the Rfam family "Bacterial small subunit ribosomal RNA", at positions 9 to 486 of the family's 1533-position model. The record is from RNAcentral.
GAGUUUGAUCCUGGCUCAGGAUGAACGCUGGCGGCGUGCCUAAUACAUGCAAGUCGAGCGAACAGAUAAGGAGCUUGCUCCUUUGAAGUUAGCGGCGGACGGGUGAGUAACACGUGGGUAACCUACCUAUAAGACUGGGAUAACUUCGGGAAACCGGAGCUAAUACCGGAUAACAUUUAGAACCGCAUGGUUCUAAAGUGAAAGAUGGUUUUGCUAUCACUUAUAGAUGGACCCGCGCCGUAUUAGCUAGUUGGUAAGGUAACGGCUUACCAAGGCAACGAUACGUAGCCGACCUGAGAGGGUGAUCGGCCACACUGGAACUGAGACACGGUCCAGACUCCUACGGGAGGCAGCAGUAGGGAAUCUUCCGCAAUGGGCGAAAGCCUGACGGAGCAACGCCGCGUGAGUGAUGAAGGUCUUCGGAUCGUAAAACUCUGUUAUUAGGGAAGAACAAAUGUGUAAGUAACUGUGCACGUCUUGACGGUACCUAAUCAG